RNAcentral lists this long non-coding RNA (917 nucleotides) under Homo sapiens (human). RNAcentral's name for it is "non-protein coding LINC00992:14". Lineage: Eukaryota; Metazoa; Chordata; Mammalia; Primates; Hominidae. The record is from RNAcentral.
GAGCUCGCUGUUACCUGAAGGGAUGGACUGGUCGGUGGAAUGUCCGGUGCCGUGAGUUACCUGCUCAGCCCUGGAGCAGGGGUCAAAGCUGGGCGGAGCUGGACAGCCAGUCUCAGCCUCAGGUACUCCAGUGACAAGCAGCAGCACCAGUGCUGAUGAGGGUAGCAGGGAAAACUGGUGAAAUGUGCCGAGGUCUCUCCAGAGGUGGUAGGCGGUUGCGCCAGCUUCACAUCCUGGAUAGGCAGGAACGUUUCCCUAUCAUACUCCUGUCCCGGGUCUCAUGUGUCUCAGUUCAAACAGACACUGCCGUCUAUCUUCAAGCUGCAAUGAAGCUGAGAGCCACAGAAAACACCUGUACCAUGGUUUCAGGGAGGAGUCUCUUCCCUCAGCCGAAAACAGACAGCUUUGCUGGUCAUCUGUUCUCCACUGCGAGGACGCUGCCACUCAGUGUGGAGAGAGGAAGGGGUUCUGCCUAUGGUGCAAGAAGGUCGGACUCGGCAGUUCAUCAUGGGUCCUCUGGAAAUCUCCUACCUUUGUGAGCAAAGAUUACUGCAGGGUGGAAGACAGGUCCAUGAUUGCCCAGGCUGCAGUGCAAGAAGUAUGAUGGCACCAUAUCUCAUCUUGCACCUCAAUGAUCAUCUAACAAGAAUCCUUCUGCAGAUCCCAUCUAAAAUUACAUUUCCAGGCAUUCCACAUAACCGGAGGAAAAAAAACAUGGAUCCUAUGGAAAGUAUGUAAGUAAGAUAGACUUCAGUUUGAAUCUAUUCUGACACCUCUGUAACAUUAAACAGGGUGUUUUGGCUCUUUUACUAUGAGCUUUCUUAUCUGAAAGUAAGAAUAGUAGCAAUUUUCUUUUAAACUUGUUGGAAAAGUUAAAUGAGAUAUACGUUUAAAUCACUUUUGUGUCUGGCACAUAG